This 417-nucleotide ribosomal RNA is filed under the name uncultured bacterium. RNAcentral describes it as "bacterial SSU rRNA". It matches the Rfam family "Bacterial small subunit ribosomal RNA", at positions 362 to 777 of the family's 1533-position model. The record is from RNAcentral.
UAUUGGUCAAUGGUCGGGAGACUGAACCAGCCAAGCCGCGUGAGGGAAGAAGGUACAGCGUAUCGUAAACCUCUUUUGCCGGGGAACAAGAGCUUCCACGAGUGGGAGUGUGAGCGUACCCGGAGAAAAAGCAUCGGCUCACUCCGUGCCAGCAGCCGCGGUACUACGGAGGAUGCGGGCGUUAUCCGGAUUUAUUGGGUUUAAAGGGUCCGCGGGCGGUCGGUGAAGUCAGCGGUCAAAGCCCGGGGCUCAACCCCGGCCCGCCGUUGAAACUGGCAGUCUCGAGUUGGAGAGAAGUAUGCGGAACGCGAGGUGUAGCGGUGAAAUGCAUAGAUAUCGCGCAGAACUCCGAUUGCGAAGGCAGCAUGCCGGCUCCACACUGACGCUGAGGCACGAAAGCGUGGGUAUCGAACAGGA